This 1887-nucleotide ribosomal RNA is filed under the name human gut metagenome. RNAcentral's name for it is "bacterial LSU rRNA". It matches the Rfam family "Bacterial large subunit ribosomal RNA", at positions 1164 to 2925 of the family's 2925-position model. The record is from RNAcentral.
CUGAAGAUUCCGGCAGUGAACGAAGCACGCUGCAUCGGUUGCGGAGCCUGCGAGACGUUGGGUAGGAGAGCGUCCCGCGUGGGGCGAAGCGGCCGGGGAACCGUGCCGUGGACCGCGCGGGAGUGAGAAUGCAGACAUGAGUAGCGAGAGACGGGUGAGGAUCCCGUCCGCUGGAUGACCAAGGGUUCCGGGGCCACGUUCGUCGUCCCCGGGUGAGUCGGGUCCUAAGGCGAGGCCGACAGGCGUAGUCGAAUGGAUGAACGGGUGGAUAUUCCCGUACCGGCGGCGUACCGUAAGAGCCGAACGGAUGAGUACUAACCUCCGGUCGCGUGGCGUCGUUCCCUUCGGGGUUCGGGGCGCGUGGCUGUUGGGAGCGUAGUCCUGGUAGGCUAGCGCACAGGGGUGACACGGAAUGGGAGCCGGCCGCGGAGGUGGUUUUCCGUGGUCAAGCACGCAGCCCGUCCCAUAGGCAAAUCCGUGGGACGCAUAGGGUGAGGUGUGAUGAUGGGCGUCCUUUGGACGCGAUAUCCGGUGGUCCAGGCCGUCGAGAAAAGCCUCGGCGCGAGGGGCGUCGCCGCCCGUACCCCAAACCGACACUGGUGGUCAGGUAGAGAAUACCAAGGCGAUCGAGCGAAUCCUGGUCAAGGAACUCGGCAAAUCACUCCCGUGCCUUCGGUAUAAGGGAGACCCCCGGGCGUGAAGAGGCUUGCCCUCGGAGCGUUGGGGGGUGGCACAGACCAGGGGGUAGCGACUGUUUACCAAAAACACAGGUGCAUGCGAAGGCGCAAGCCGCUGUAUAUGCACUGACGCCUGCCCGGUGCCGGAAGGUUAAGAGGAUCCGUCAGCCCCUUUUGGGGUGAAGCGGUGAAUUCAAGCCCCGGUAAACGGCGGUGGUAACUAUAACCAUCCUAAGGUAGCGAAAUUCCUUGUCGGGUAAGUUCCGACCUGCACGAAUGGCGUAACGACUUCCCCACUGUCUCGACCAGGAGCUCGGCGAAAUUGCAGUACGAGUAAAGAUGCUCGUUAAGCGCAGAAGGACGAAAAGACCCCGGGACCUUUACUAUACCUUGGUAUUGGCGUUAGGCGCGGAUUGUGUAGCAUAGGCGGGAGGCUUCGAAGCAUGGGCGCCAGCCCGUGUGGAGCCGCAAGGUGAAAUACCGCUCUGUUCUCGUUUGACGUCUCACCUCGAACAGUCAUCCUGUUCAGGGACAGUGCCUGGCGGGUAGUUUAACUGGGGCGGUUGCCUCCCAAAGAGUAACGGAGGCGCUCAAAGGUCCGCUCAGCCCGGUUGGCAAUCGGGUUUCGAGUGUAAUCGCACAAGCGGGCUUGACUGCGAGAACGACGGUUCGGGCAGGGACGAAAGUCGGAGAUAGUGAUCCGGUGCCGGCGCACGGGCGCGGCAUCGCUCAACGGAUAAAAGGUACCCCGGGGAUAACAGGCUGAUCAUUCCCAAGAGUCCAUAUCGACGGGAUGGUUUGGCACCUCGAUGUCGGCUCGUCGCAUCCUGGGGCUGGAGCAGGUCCCAAGGGUUUGGCUGUUCGCCAAUUAAAGCGGCACGCGAGCUGGGUUCAGAACGUCGUGAGACAGUUUGGUCUCUAUCCUCUGCGCUCGUUGGAAUCCUGAGGAGGCCUGCCCAUAGUACGAGAGGACCUGGGUGGACGGACCUCUGGUAUGCCGGUUGUCGCGCCAGCGGCAUGGCCGGUUGGCUACGUUCGGGAGGGAUAACCGCUGAAAGCAUCUAAGCGGGAAGCCUGCUCCAAGAUUAGGAUUCCUUGACGCUCCCCGGAGCGCCUGUAGCCCGCAUGUUGAACACGUGUUCGAUAGGCCGGAGGUGGAAGCCCCGCGAGGGGUGGAGCCGACCGGUACUAACGGGCGAACGCGGCACAC